GAUGAACGCUGGCGGCGUGCCUAAUACAUGCAAGUCGAACGGAAAGGCCUCUUCGGAGGUACUCGAGUGGCGGACGGCUGAGUAACGCGUAGGAAUGUACCCCACAGUGAUGAAUAAUUCGCUGAAAAGCGGACUAAUACCGCAUGUGCUCUAAGGAGUAAAGCUUCGGCGCUUUGGGAACAGCCUGCGUAAGAUUAGCUUGUUGGUGAGGUAAUGGCUCACCAAGGCGACGAUCUUUAGCUGGUCUGAGAGGACGAUCAGCCACACUGGGACUGAGACACGGCCCAGACUCCUACGGGAGGCAGCAGUGGGGAAUUUUGGACAAUGGGCGAAAGCCUGAUCCAGCAAUGCCGCGUGUGUGAAGAAGGCCUUCGGGUUGUAAAGCACUUUUGUCCGGAAAGAAAUGGCUCUGGUUAAUACCUGGGGUCGAUGACGGUACCGGAAGAAUAAGGACCGGCUAACUACGUGCCAGCCGCCGCCGUAA
Molecule: ribosomal RNA, 484 nt
Filed under: uncultured bacterium
Lineage: Bacteria
Description: partial 16S ribosomal RNA
Rfam family: Bacterial small subunit ribosomal RNA
Source: RNAcentral